This 74-nucleotide transfer RNA is filed under the name Marmota monax (woodchuck). RNAcentral describes it as "tRNA.Val". The record is from RNAcentral. Lineage: Eukaryota; Metazoa; Chordata; Mammalia; Rodentia; Sciuridae.
UGGGGAUACAGCUCAGCUGGUACAGUGCUUGCCUCACAUGCAUAAGGCCCUGGGUUCAAUCCCCAAAACCACAA